RNAcentral lists this ribosomal RNA (448 nucleotides) under uncultured bacterium. RNAcentral describes it as "bacterial SSU rRNA". It matches the Rfam family "Bacterial small subunit ribosomal RNA", at positions 958 to 1398 of the family's 1533-position model. The record is from RNAcentral.
AACGCGAAGAACCUUACCUGGGCUUGAACUACUAGAAGUAAGAUCUAUGAAAAUAGAGAUGACCCGUAAAAUCGGGAGCUAGCAGAGGUGCUGCAUGGCUGUCGUCAGCUCGUGUCGUGAGAUGUUGGGUUAAGUCCCGCAACGAGCGCAACCCUUAUCCUAUGUUGCUACGUUCGAAAGGACAGCACUCUUAGGAAACUGCCUCGGAUAACGGGGAGGAAGGUGGGGAUGACGUCAAGUCACCAUGGCCUUUAUGUCCAGGGCUACACACGUGCUACAAUGGCCGGUACAGCGAGCAGCAAAUCCGCAAGGAGGAGCAAAUCUCUAAAAGCCGGCCCCAGUUCAGAUUGUGGGCUGCAAUUCGCCCACAUGAAGGUGGAAUCGCUAGUAAUCGGGGAUCAGCUGGCCCCGGUGAAUACGUUCCCGGGCCUUGUACACACCGUACGUC